This 124-nucleotide ribosomal RNA is filed under the name Fusarium sp. RNAcentral describes it as "partial large subunit ribosomal RNA". It matches the Rfam family "Eukaryotic large subunit ribosomal RNA", at positions 99 to 226 of the family's 3401-position model. Lineage: Eukaryota; Fungi; Ascomycota; Sordariomycetes; Hypocreales; Nectriaceae. The record is from RNAcentral.
CGGCAACAGCUCAAAUUUGAAAUCUGGCUCUCGGGCCCGAGUUGUAAUUUGUAGAGGAUACUUUUGAUGCGGUGCCUUCCGAGUUCCCUGGAACGGGACGCCAUAGAGGGUGAGAGUCCCGUCU